This 770-nucleotide ribosomal RNA is filed under the name uncultured bacterium. RNAcentral describes it as "bacterial SSU rRNA". It matches the Rfam family "Bacterial small subunit ribosomal RNA", at positions 8 to 796 of the family's 1533-position model. The record is from RNAcentral.
AGAGUUUGAUCAUGGCUCAGGACGAACGCUGGCGGCGUGCUUAACACAUGCAAGUCGAGCGGAAAGGCCCUUCGGGGUACUCGAGCGGCGAACGGGUGAGUAACACGUGAGCAAUCUGCCCUUGACUCUGGGAUAGCUCCGGGAAACCGGGAUUAAUACCGGAUAUGACCACUUUAGACAUCUUUUGUGGUGGAAAGAAUUUCGGUCAGGGAUGAGCUCGCGGCCUAUCAGCUUGUUGGUGGGGUAACGGCCUACCAAGGCGACGACGGGUAGCCGGCCUGAGAGGGCGACCGGCCACACUGGGACUGAGACACGGCCCAGACUCCUACGGGAGGCAGCAGUGGGGAAUAUUGCGCAAUGGGCGAAAGCCUGACGCAGCGACGCCGCGUGGGGGAUGAAGGCCUUCGGGUUGUAAACCCCUUUCAGCAGGGACGAAGCGAAAGUGACGGUACCUGCAGAAGAAGCGCCGGCUAACUACGUGCCAGCAGCCGCGGUAACACGUAGGGCGCAAGCGUUGUCCGGAAUUAUUGGGCGUAAAGAGCUCGUAGGUGGUCUGUUGCGUCCGCUGUGAAAACUCGGGGCUUAACCCCGAGCCUGCAGUGGAUACGGGCAGACUAGAGGUAGGUAGGGGAGAAUGGAAUUCCUGGUGUAGCGGUGAAAUGCGCAGAUAUCAGGAGGAACACCGGUGGCGAAGGCGGUUCUCUGGGCCUUACCUGACACUGAGGAGCGAAAGCGUGGGGAGCAAACAGGAUUAGAUACCCUAGUAGUCC